This 567-nucleotide ribosomal RNA is filed under the name uncultured bacterium. RNAcentral's name for it is "bacterial SSU rRNA". It matches the Rfam family "Bacterial small subunit ribosomal RNA", at positions 38 to 698 of the family's 1533-position model. The record is from RNAcentral.
GGCGGUAGGCCUAACACAUGCAAGUCGAACGAGUGGCGGACGGGUGAGGAAUACAUCGGAAUCUACUUUUUCGUGGGGGAUAACGUAGGGAAACUUACGCUAAUACCGCAUACGAUUGAAUGAGCCGAUGUCGGAUUAGCUAGUUGGCGGGGUAAAGGCCCACCAAGGCGACGAUCCGUAGCUGGUCUGAGAGGAUGAUCAGCCACACUGGAACUGAGACACGGUCCAGACUCCUACGGGAGGCAGCAGUGGGGAAUAUUGGACAAUGGGCGCAAGCCUGAUCCAGCCAUACCGCGUGGGUGAAGAAGGCCUUCGGGUUGUAAAGCCCUUUUGUUGGGAAAGCGGUACCCAAAGAAUAAGCACCGGCUAACUUCGUGCCAGCAGCCGCGGUAAUACGAAGGGUGCAAGCGUUGCUCGGAAUUACUGGGCGUAAAGCGUGCGUAGGUGGUCGUUUAAGUCCGUUGUGAAAGCCCUGGGCUCAACCUGGGAACUGCAGUGGAUACUGGGCGACUAGAUGUGGUAGAGGGUAGCGGAAUUCCUGGUGUAGCAGUGAAAUGCGUAGAGAUC